GGACUGUAAAAAAAAGCCUCGAACGCACAACAAAUGUGAUAAUGUGAGAUUUCAAACCGUUUAAAACCAUGACUAGAGAGAGGCUCAACGAAUAGAGCAAGAUCUGUUGUUUUUAUGAGAUGACAAAUCAGAGCAAGACUACUGAAUGUAAGGUAAGAGGUGGGCAGACUUCCAGAGCAAAGUGAAUAGUAGUUAUUGGUCUGCCUUGAAGAUGAACUGGAAAGUGUGGACCCCCUUCCAGUUCAUCAACAUCAACUAUGUGGCUUUAGAGUUUCGAGUGCUGUUUGCCAACAUGGUGGCCUUAUUUUGGUAUGCUUACCUUGCGUCUGCGAGGAAGUGAAGACUCCCAAGAUCUUCUCCCUGAUUACUGAAGUAAGAAGGCACAGGGUGUGCCUCUGAAGCUGCAGAACGUUACAAGGACAGGCCUGUGAAUACCAGUGCAGCAAGAUGGUACAAUCAGGCAAAUUACCUGGGGUGGUGUGUAGGACGUCAGUCACACAAUAUACAAGGUACUGCACUACUACACUAAUGUCUUAGGUCUCUCUUUAUGUGGUGUUGUGGUGUAUCUCUUGUCGUGAUGUGUGUUUUGUUCUAUAUAUAUAUAUAUAUUGAUUAUAUUUUUUUGAAACCCCUGUCCCCGCAUGAGGCCUUUUGCCUUCUUGUCAUUGUAAAUAAGAAUUUGUUAUUAACUGACUUGUCUAAAUUAAAUAAAGGCCAAAUGAAAAAAUAUAAAUAAAUGAAAUCCUAAUACAUCCAAUGUGUUGCUCACAUGCAAAAUAACUUAUAUCUGAAAUGUUCAAUCUUAAUUGUUACUUCUUGAAUAAAUUGAAAUACUUGAGUAUUCUCCUUUGAGCCACGGUGUAUUUUGGUUUUAACAAUAGUAAAUACAUGUUAUAUAUUCUUGUUUGAUUAAAAAAAUGUUUUGUAUAAUUUAAGUUGAAGCAAAGCAAAUGUGCUGUAGGAAAUAAAUAACAGUAACUGUUUCAAUCUUGAAGCCAACUCAUUUAACACCAUAUGAAUAUGCAAUGUUAAGAUUGUUAUCAAACCACAAUGUAUUGUGUAUAUUGCUGACAAGGCCGACCUGUAGUUUCCUUAUGUGGACUGCAUUGUUUUAGUUUGAGUCUCAACUCAACUGUAAAUGUGACUGCUGUCAAUAUCAGGUCAAAUAAGGGAGCAACAGCACAUCGGACUGAAACUGCCAAAUCAUUUUACAUCCUGAUGUACAGUAUUUGUUUUAACCCUAUUUUAUAAAUGAAAACAAGAACCA
Oncorhynchus tshawytscha (Chinook salmon) is the source of this 1267-nucleotide long non-coding RNA. RefSeq lists it as uncharacterized. The transcript is spliced from 4 exons. The record is from RefSeq and is a predicted model, not a curated record. Lineage: Eukaryota; Metazoa; Chordata; Actinopteri; Salmoniformes; Salmonidae.